GGGUUCCGCUGAUCAGAAGCGGACAAGCAAACAGCGGAUGUGCAGUUCCUCUCUUCGCCGAACCCGGUUUUCCCUUUCGGAGCAGCGCGACCGAUUUCCGGUUUCCCCGCCGCAACCACCGUUACCCCCCCCCCGCCCCAAUCCCCGGCGACUCCAGCGACGUCACCGGUUCAGCUCCUGACCUUUCGGCGAACCGCAGAACCACAGGCGACCCGUUCGACGUCAUCACUCCCCGCCCAGAUGUCGCUGUGACAUCACCCCGCACGUGCCUGCGCUGGCACCGCGUCGUCCUGGCGAGCGCCUCCUCGCGGCGGAAGGAGAUCCUGGGGUUCGCUGUGCGAGACAUGUCGGCGGGGUUUCACGUGAGUGACACUUGGUCCCCACGGGAUUGACAGCGACUAGCGGAGUGGCAUGUGGACGUAGCUUCAGGUGACCUCACUGACCCCGCCCCUGACUCCACCCCUUGUGAUGACCCCACCACUGACCCACAGGCCUUGGAGGGGCUGAUCCUGGAGAAGUCAAAGGACCAGGAGGACGCCAUGGGGGGUGCUGUACAGGCUGAGCAGGAAGCAGAGCAGCACAGCGUCAUCAUGAGGGUAGCCAUCUUCACCUGGGGCAUCCACGGAGGCCCUGCCCAGGAAGUGACUUUCUCUCUACUGUAGGAGGAGCUGAUCCACGACUACUUGGACAACAGCACACCAGCGAAGGAUGGGACAAGGCCUGGGGCCUCCGCCAUCCAUGCGUGGGGAGUGAUGCUGGUAGAGGGCAAAUUGGUGACGUCAUCAAUGCAGCGGGCUUCCCACUCAACCACUUUAGCCGCAAGCUUGCAAGGGCAGCUGCCAGAGACAGGAAGUGACAUCGCUGUGGAGAGGGCAGCAGGAAGUGAGGGGUCUGCAACAACACAAGGAAGCAAGCAACCCGUGAGAAAGCACUGGCAUGGAUGAAAACAGACUCACUGGAAAGAUGCAAAGCAAUGUCAGGUUACACAACAAAAGGCAAUUACAGUCAUAUGAGGGAGUGUUCGAAAAGUUGUAAUUUGAAAACUGUUUUUGGUUGUCCUUUAGUUGGCCUCCUCUGUAAAUUGUGACAGACAUCUCCUGACAACACUUAAAGCAUCUCAAACCAUCCUUGCCCUGAUCUAUGAGUUCUCAGAACAGAAGGACUACUGAGCCAGGCGUGGUAGCACAUGCCUGUGAUCCUACAACUCAGAAGACAGAAGAGGAAUUCUAGGUCAGCCUGGGCUAGACAGACAGCAAGACUCUUGUUUUGUUUUGAAAGGCUGGUGAGGUAGUUCAGCGGGUUAACUGCCUGGUCUAAGCCCAGUGACGUGAGUUUGUGUGCUGUGGAGCUUCUGCAAACCCUGCCCCUGCCAAAUAAAAACUCGUAAUUUAUAACUCACAAAAA
This 1404-nucleotide long non-coding RNA is filed under the name Mus musculus (house mouse). Its description in RNAcentral is "RAB10, member RAS oncogene family, opposite strand". The record is from RNAcentral. Lineage: Eukaryota; Metazoa; Chordata; Mammalia; Rodentia; Muridae.